ACGGAAGGCAGCAGUGGGGAAUAUUGGGCAAUGGGCGAAAGCCUGACCCAGCAACGCCGCGUGAAGGAAGAAGGUCUUCGGAUUGUAAACUUCUUUUAUGAGGGACGAAGGACGUGACGGUACCUCAUGAAUAAGCCACGGCUAACUACGUGCCAGCAGCCGCGGUAAUACGUAGGUGGCAAGCGUUAUCCGGAUUUACUGGGUGUAAAGGGCGCGUAGGCGGGAGAGCAAGUCAGAUGUGAAAUCCAUGGGCUUAACCCAUGAACUGCAUUUGAAACUGUUCUUCUUGAGUGCCGGAGAGGUAGACGGAAUUCCUUGUGUAGCGGUGAAAUGCGUAGAUAUAAGGAAGAACACCAGUGGCGAAGGCGGUCUACUGGACAGUAACUGACGCUGAGGCGCGAAAGCGUGGGUAGCAAACAGGAUUAGAUACCCUGGUA
Molecule: ribosomal RNA, 437 nt
Filed under: uncultured Oscillospiraceae bacterium
Lineage: Bacteria; Bacillati; Bacillota; Clostridia; Eubacteriales; Oscillospiraceae
Description: bacterial SSU rRNA
Rfam family: Bacterial small subunit ribosomal RNA
Source: RNAcentral